ACGGAGGGGGCUAGCGUUGUUCGGAAUUACUGGGCGUAAAGCGUACGUAGGCGGAUUAGUAAGUAAGAUGUGAAAUCCCGGGGCUCAACCUCGGAACUGCAUUUUAAACUGCUAGUCUAGAGUUAUGGAGAGGUAAGUGGAAUUCCUAGUGUAGAGGUGAAAUUCGUAGAUAUUAGGAGGAACACCAGAGGCGAAGGCGACUUACUGGACAUAUACUGACGCUGAGGUACGAAAGUGUGGGUAGCAAACAGG
This 252-nucleotide ribosomal RNA is filed under the name uncultured bacterium. Its description in RNAcentral is "partial 16S ribosomal RNA". It matches the Rfam family "Bacterial small subunit ribosomal RNA", at positions 525 to 776 of the family's 1533-position model. The record is from RNAcentral.